AUCCAGACGACGAGUCCCAAAUAGGACGAUACGUCCUGGAU
Molecule: non-coding RNA, 41 nt
Filed under: Schistosoma margrebowiei
Lineage: Eukaryota; Metazoa; Platyhelminthes; Trematoda; Strigeidida; Schistosomatidae
Source: RNAcentral